GGGGAUUUAGCUCAGUGGCAGAGCGCCUUCCUGGCAAGCACGAAGUUGAGAGUUCAAUCCCCA
Molecule: transfer RNA, 63 nt
Filed under: Cavia porcellus (domestic guinea pig)
Lineage: Eukaryota; Metazoa; Chordata; Mammalia; Rodentia; Caviidae
Rfam family: tRNA
About the family: Transfer RNA (tRNA) molecules are approximately 80 nucleotides in length.
Source: Rfam by way of RNAcentral